RNAcentral lists this ribosomal RNA (253 nucleotides) under uncultured bacterium. Its description in RNAcentral is "partial 16S ribosomal RNA". It matches the Rfam family "Bacterial small subunit ribosomal RNA", at positions 524 to 776 of the family's 1533-position model. The record is from RNAcentral.
UACGAAGGGGGCUAGCGUUGUUCGGAUUUACUGGGCGUAAAGCGUGCGCAGGCGGUUUCGUAAGUCUGUCGUGAAAUCCCCGGGCUUAACCUGGGAAUGGCGAUGGAGACUGCGAGGCUAGAGUUUGGCAGAGGGGGGUAGAAUUCCACGUGUAGCAGUGAAAUGCGUAGAGAUGUGGAGGAACACCGAUGGCGAAGGCAGCCCCCUGGGUCAAAACUGACGCUCAUGCACGAAAGCGUGGGGAGCAAACAGG